GACGAACCGUGCGAACGUUGUUCGGAUUCACUGGGCUUAAAGGGCGCGUAGGCGGGUCAGCAAGUCCGGGGUGAAAGCUUUCGGCUCAACCGGAAAAGGGCCUUGGAUACUGCUGGUCUGGAGGAAGGUAGGGGCGUGUGGAACUUCCGGUGGAGCGGUGAAAUGCGCAGAUAUCGGGAGGAACACCGGUGGCGAAGGCGGUUCUCUGGGCCUGACCUGACGCUGAGGAGCGAAAGCGUGGGGAGCGAACAGG
RNAcentral lists this ribosomal RNA (253 nucleotides) under uncultured bacterium. RNAcentral's name for it is "partial 16S ribosomal RNA". It matches the Rfam family "Bacterial small subunit ribosomal RNA", at positions 524 to 776 of the family's 1533-position model. The record is from RNAcentral.